CCAGACUCCUACGGGAGGCAGCAGUGAGGAAUAUUGGUCAAUGGCCGAGAGGCUGAACCAGCCAAGUCGCGUGAGGGAUGACGGCCCUACGGGUUGUAAACCUCUUUUGUCGGGGAGCAAAAGCCGGACGUGUCCGGCUGUGAGAGUACCCGAAGAAAAAGCAUCGGCUAACCCCGUGCCAGCAGCCGCGGUAAUACGGAGGAUGCGAGCGUUAUCCGGAUUUAUUGGGUUUAAAGGGUGCGCAGGCGGCACGGCAAGCCGGCGGUCAAAUCGCGGGGCUCAACCCCGCCCAGCCGUCGGAACUGCCGGGCUAGAGUGGGCGAGAAGUGCGCGGAAUGCGUGGUGUAGCGGUGAAAUGCAUAGAUAUCACGCAGAACUCCGAUUGCGAAGGCAGCAUACCGGCGCCCAACUGACGCUGAAGCACGAAAGCGUGGGUAUCGAACAGGAUUAGAUACCCCAGUAU
Molecule: ribosomal RNA, 463 nt
Filed under: uncultured bacterium
Lineage: Bacteria
Description: bacterial SSU rRNA
Rfam family: Bacterial small subunit ribosomal RNA
Source: RNAcentral